UAGGGAAUCUUCCGCAAUGGACGCAAGUCUGACGGAGCAACGCCGCGUGAGUGAAGAAGGAUUUCGGUUCGUAAAACUCUGUUGUUAGAGAAGAACAGCGCAUAGAGUAACUGUUAUGCGUGUGACGGUAUCUAACCAGAAAGCCACGGCUAACUACGUGCCAGCAGCCGCGGUAAUACGUAGGUGGCAAGCGUUGUCCGGAUUUAUUGGGCGUAAAGCGAGCGGAGGCGGUCAAUUAAGUCUGAUGUGAAAGCCCCCGGCUCAACCGGGGAGGGUCAUUGGAAACUGGUUGACUGGAGGGCAGAAGAGGAGAGUGGAAGUCCAUGUGUAGCGGUGAAAUGCGUAGAUAUAUGGAGGAACACCAGUGGCGAAGGCGACUCUCUGGUCUGUAACUGACGCUGAGGCUCGAAAGCGUGGGUAGCAAACAGG
RNAcentral lists this ribosomal RNA (429 nucleotides) under Bacteroidota bacterium. Its description in RNAcentral is "Bacteroidetes bacterium partial 16S ribosomal RNA". It matches the Rfam family "Bacterial small subunit ribosomal RNA", at positions 355 to 776 of the family's 1533-position model. Lineage: Bacteria; Pseudomonadati; Bacteroidota. The record is from RNAcentral.